GCAUGAUGGAGACUUUAAAGAGUUCCUGAAUCCAGGCCCGUGGCAUUGAAACUAUAAAAGAAAAUGGGGCAUUCUGAUUAUGUGAUAUGGCCCAUGAAUCCAAAAUAGUAGCAAACAAAAUCUGGGCAGGACAGAACUGAUACUAAUCAAUCCUGGGAUUUCUAAUCUAGUACCGCCGCAUAAUAGAGGUGCAGAGAGCCGCAAGUUGUAGCCCCUCAAUCCCGUGCUUGUUAAAAUUCCUGGGGAGAAUUUUGUACAAGCACCGAAGUUUAACCACAUGGGCGGAAAAGGAGGGAAUAAAAAGGGACCUAUUGCAACAGCUGGGGCUCAGCCGCGAGUUUCCAUGACGCUGAGAGAGGAAUCAAUUGCGAAGAAACAGGGCAAUGUUAAUGUCAAGACUAUGUGCAGGCUAGACCAUCUGAAAACCUUGCAAUGUGGGCCGCCGAAGCUCUCUAUCCCGUCGCUUGGCGCUUUCUGCGGGGAAAACCUGGCUGCAGCAGCCAGGCCUUGGGCAUUCGCCCUGACCCGUCUUUGUUUGUUUGUGAAAGAUGUGAAUCCAUUCCGCAACCUGGUGAUAACUGCACUUUCCGAAUUGAGAAGAAUAUGUCAAAGCCGCAACACAGACACAAGAAAUCUAGUCUUGCCCCAGUAUCGAUAUAAAGCUAAACACCUCAAAGCUUGAAAUUCAUGGAGAGGGGUUGGACGACGACCUGAUUAGCAACCUCGCCCAAUAUUGAUAUGAAGCUAAACAGCUCUUUAUCGAGAGCGUCUAAAAGUUCAUUGGUCUCAGUCAAGCACCCUUUCAAGUUCAAGAUCGCAUUAUAAUGGAUGCUCGGAUUGCGAACAGACUUCGUGUGAAAAGGGCUAAACGAUCCAUCAUCUCUCCUGAAAUAGAUUCCUAGCACCCUUCUUC
Sesamum indicum (sesame) is the source of this 913-nucleotide non-coding RNA. NCBI's taxonomy places the organism in Eukaryota, Viridiplantae, Streptophyta, Magnoliopsida, Lamiales, Pedaliaceae. The record is from RefSeq and is a predicted model, not a curated record.